RNAcentral lists this ribosomal RNA (397 nucleotides) under uncultured bacterium. Its description in RNAcentral is "partial 16S ribosomal RNA". It matches the Rfam family "Bacterial small subunit ribosomal RNA", at positions 362 to 774 of the family's 1533-position model. The record is from RNAcentral.
UAUUGCACAAUGGAGGGAACUCUUAUGCAGCAACGCCGCGUGUGUGAAAAAGGUUUUCUGAUCGUAAAACUCUGUCAUUGGGGAAGAAUAAAUGACAGUACCCAAUGUGGAAGACCCGGCUAACUACCUGCCAGCAGCCGCGGUAACACGUAGGUGGCAAGCGUUGUCCGGAUUUAUUGGGCGUAAAGCGAGCGCAGGCGGUCUUUUAAGUCUGAUGUGAAAUCUUACAGCUUAACUGUAAGCGGUCAUUGGAAACUGGGAGACUUGAGUGCAGAAGAGGAGAGUGGAACUCCAUGUGUAGCGGUGAAAUGCGUAGAGAUUAGGAGGAACACCAGUGGCGAAGGCGACUUUCUGGACUGUAACUGACGCUGAGGUACGAAAGCGUGGGUAGCGAACA